This 215-nucleotide ribosomal RNA is filed under the name uncultured bacterium. Its description in RNAcentral is "partial 16S ribosomal RNA". It matches the Rfam family "Bacterial small subunit ribosomal RNA", at positions 116 to 334 of the family's 1533-position model. The record is from RNAcentral.
CAUAGGAAUCUGCCUAGUAGUGGGGGACAACCUGGUGAAAACCAGGCUAAUACCGCAUACGACCUACGGGUGAAAGCAGGGGACCUUCGGGCCUUGCGCUAUUAGAUGAGCCUAUGUCUGAUUAGCUUGUUGGUGAGGUAAUGGCUCACCAAGGCGACGAUCAGUAGCUGGUCUGAGAGGAUGAUCAGCCACACUGGGACUGAGACACGGCCCAG